RNAcentral lists this ribosomal RNA (257 nucleotides) under Mycobacterium tuberculosis. RNAcentral's name for it is "partial 23S ribosomal RNA". It matches the Rfam family "Bacterial large subunit ribosomal RNA", at positions 58 to 309 of the family's 2925-position model. The record is from RNAcentral. Lineage: Bacteria; Bacillati; Actinomycetota; Actinomycetes; Mycobacteriales; Mycobacteriaceae.
GUAGUAGGCUGCGAUAAGCCUCGGGGAGCUGCCAAACGAGCUGUGAUCCGAGGGUGUCCGAAUGGGGAAACCCAGCACGCGUGAUGGCGUGGUACCCGCAUCUGAAUACAUAGGGUGUGUGGAGGGAACGCGGGGAAGUGAAACAUCUCAGUACCCGCAGGAAGCGAAAACAACAGUGAUUCCGUCAGUAGCGGCGAGCGAACGCGGAAGAGGCUAAACCGCAUGCGUGUGAUACCCGGCAGGGGUUGCGUGUGUGG